RNAcentral lists this ribosomal RNA (464 nucleotides) under uncultured Klebsiella sp. RNAcentral describes it as "bacterial SSU rRNA". It matches the Rfam family "Bacterial small subunit ribosomal RNA", at positions 338 to 795 of the family's 1533-position model. Lineage: Bacteria; Pseudomonadati; Pseudomonadota; Gammaproteobacteria; Enterobacterales; Enterobacteriaceae. The record is from RNAcentral.
CCUACGGGGGGCAGCAGUGGGGAAUAUUGCACAAUGGGCGCAAGCCUGAUGCAGCCAUGCCGCGUGUGUGAAGAAGGCCUUCGGGUUGUAAAGCACUUUCAGCGGGGAGGAAGGCGGUGAGGUUAAUAACCUCAUCGAUUGACGUUACCCGCAGAAGAAGCACCGGCUAACUCCGUGCCAGCAGCCGCGGUAAUACGGAGGGUGCAAGCGUUAAUCGGAAUUACUGGGCGUAAAGCGCACGCAGGCGGUCUGUCAAGUCGGAUGUGAAAUCCCCGGGCUCAACCUGGGAACUGCAUUCGAAACUGGCAGGCUAGAGUCUGGUAGAGGGGGGUAGAAUUCCAGGUGUAGCGGUGAAAUGCGUAGAGAUCUGGAGGAAUACCGGUGGCGAAGGCGGCCCCCUGGACAAAGACUGACGCUCAGGUGCGAAAGCGUGGGGAGCAAACAGGAUUAGAUACCCUAGAGUC